RNAcentral lists this ribosomal RNA (261 nucleotides) under uncultured bacterium. Its description in RNAcentral is "partial 16S ribosomal RNA". It matches the Rfam family "Bacterial small subunit ribosomal RNA", at positions 92 to 354 of the family's 1533-position model. The record is from RNAcentral.
UGAGUGGCGGACGGGUGAGUAACGCGUGGGCAACCUGGCCUGUACAGGGGGAUAACACUUAGAAAUAGGUGCUAAUACCGCAUAACGGGGGAAGCCGCAUGGCUUUUCCCUGAAAACUCCGGUGGUACAGGAUGGGCCCGCGUCUGAUUAGCCAGUUGGCAGGGUAACGGCCUACCAAAGCGACGAUCAGUAGCCGGCCUGAGAGGGCGGACGGCCANACUGGGACUGAGACACGGCCCAGACUCCUACGGGAGGCAGCAG